RNAcentral lists this ribosomal RNA (492 nucleotides) under uncultured bacterium. RNAcentral's name for it is "partial 16S ribosomal RNA". It matches the Rfam family "Bacterial small subunit ribosomal RNA", at positions 29 to 507 of the family's 1533-position model. The record is from RNAcentral.
AGUGAACGCUGGCGGUAGGCCUAACACAUGCAAGUCGAACGGCAGCACAGUAAGAGCUUGCUCUUACGGGUGGCGAGUGGCGGACGGGUGAGGAAUACAUCGGAAUCUACUUUUUCGUGGGGGAUAACGUAGGGAAACUUACGCUAAUACCGCAUACGACCUACGGGUGAAAGCAGGGGAUCUUCGGACCUUGCGCGAUUGAAUGAGCCGAUGUCGGAUUAGCUAGUUGGCGGGGUAAAGGCCCACCAAGGCGACGAUCCGUAGCUGGGCUGAGAGGAUGAUCAGCGACACUGGAACUGAGAGACGGUCCAGACUCCGACGGGAGGCAGCAGUGGGGAAUAGUGGACGAUGGGCGCAAGCCUGAUCCAGCGAUACCGCGUGGGUGAAGAAGGCCUUCGGGUUGUAAAGCCCUUUUGUUGGGAAAGAAAAGUAGCAGGUUAAUACCCCGCUGUUCUGACGGUACCCAAAGAAUAAGCACCGGCUAACUUCGUG